This 127-nucleotide small RNA is filed under the name Marmota monax (woodchuck). Lineage: Eukaryota; Metazoa; Chordata; Mammalia; Rodentia; Sciuridae. The record is from RNAcentral.
GCUGGGUGCCGUGGCCCACGCCUGUAAUCCCAGCGGCUCGGGAGGCUGAGGCAAGAGGAUCGCGAGUUCAACACCAGCCUCGGCAAUUCAGCGAGGCACUAAGCAACUCAGCGAGACCCUGUCUCUA